UAUUAGAAUCCGAUGGGACCACCAUUGUAUAUGUGGUCUGCCAUUGGCUGAAGCAUCAUUAUUUGGUGCAUGACUGUAGAACUUUAAGCAAUGAUGAAAAUGCUCUAUAUCCACACUAUCCAAUAUGGUUCUGCUUGAAUUCUUGCCCUGGCUCUUGGUGAAGGAUCGGCCUGCUGGAUCUGAGUCAUCCACCUAUAAGAGGGACAACACCACACAUUGGUCGCUGCUCUCAAGCCCCUGGAAUACCACCCCACUUGGCUUCUCCUGAUACCACCCACAUAAACAAAAACUUUUUGGGAGUCCUCCAGAAUUUUUAAGAGUUAUCUAAACUAUUGCCUUUAAUGACCAGGAACUCCAAUUUGAGAAGUUACCCUACGUUAAGCCAACAGCAGCCUGGCUCCUUCAUCCUGUGCAGUAUGGGACAGAGCUGGGUCCUUGUUGUCAUCAGCCAGACAAGCACACAUUAAAGCCCACCUUAGCCAUUGGCAUUACAGCUUUAAAAGCAGCUCCAUCCUACCAUGCUGUCACUCUACUCAAUCACGUGAUCUUAACGACCAGCUCUACAUAUCCUCUCUCCAUGCCCCCACCACCAUCCCCCACCAACAAAUCCGGUAAUCUAUCUCUGUCAAUAGUCCUGCAGUGAAUUCCGAAUAAGUUUUUCUCUUCCCUGGCCUGCCGUUUACGUAGUACCCUGGAUGAAUCUAUACUUACU
Molecule: long non-coding RNA, 712 nt
Filed under: Homo sapiens (human)
Lineage: Eukaryota; Metazoa; Chordata; Mammalia; Primates; Hominidae
Description: non-protein coding LINC02020:17
Source: RNAcentral